UACGUAGGGAGCAAGCGUUGUCCGGAAUCAUUGGGCGUAAAGCGCGCGUAGGUGGCCUCGUAAGUCCGCUGUGAAAGUCAAAGGCUCAACCUUUGAAAGCCGGUGGAUACUGUGGGGCUAGAGUACGGAAGAGGCGAGUGGAAUUCCUGGUGUAGCGGUGGAAUGCGCAGAUAUCAGGAGGAACACCAAUAGCGAAGGCAGCUCGCUGGGACGUUACUGACGCUGAGGCGCGAAAGCGUGGGGAGCAAACAGG
RNAcentral lists this ribosomal RNA (253 nucleotides) under uncultured bacterium. RNAcentral describes it as "partial 16S ribosomal RNA". It matches the Rfam family "Bacterial small subunit ribosomal RNA", at positions 524 to 776 of the family's 1533-position model. The record is from RNAcentral.